UUCCAUUCAUUUCUCCUGGUCUUCUGGGUUUUUCUCUUGCCCUCCCCACCACCAUUCCUGAUGCUGUUCUGCUUUUCCCCUCCCCCUCCUGUCUUCCACCCAGUUCCCUCCCUCCCUCUGCCUACCAUAAUUUUUUUGUUUCCCCUCCUAAAUGUAAUUGAAGCAUCCUCACUUGAGCUUUCCUGCUGGUUAAACCUCUUACGGUCUAUGGGUUGUAUCCUGGGUAUUCUGUACUUUGGCUUGUAUCUACUUACCAGUUCAGAGGUUCAGUCUAUUAUCAAGGUGGGAGCAUGGCGGAGUUCAGGCAGUGAUGGCGCAGGAGGAGCUUAAAGUUCUAUAUCUUCAUCUGGAGGUCACUAGGAGAAGACUGUCUUCCAGGCAGCUAUGAUGAGGAUCUUAAAGCCCACAUCCACAGUGACACACUUCCUCCAACAAGGCCACACCUACUCCAACAAGGCCACACCUCCUAACAGUCCUACUCCCUGGAUCAAGUAUCUACCACACUGCUCAAGCUACUUAAAUUGCUGACUUUGGACAAGAGAUACAAAAGAAUCUUUUGUGGUCUACACUAAGCUCGCACCAGCUCACCAGAAGACUACACUGGGUCUUUCUACAUGUAAACAAAGUUCUUUCUGGUGCUAAUGUGUUUGGCUGGUGGGUCUUGCUGGGUCUCCUCUGAAGGCCUCACAAUCUGACUAUGUUGCUCUUUCCUUUUCACAAUUAGCUUUAGGUGUGAGGAAAACAAAGAUGUGAAAAUAGCAUUUCUUCUCUUGUAAAAUAAAACAUUCUGCAGAAAAA
This is a non-coding RNA of Rattus norvegicus (Norway rat), 798 nucleotides long. Lineage: Eukaryota; Metazoa; Chordata; Mammalia; Rodentia; Muridae. The record is from RefSeq and is a predicted model, not a curated record.